Molecule: long non-coding RNA, 1508 nt
Filed under: Mus musculus (house mouse)
Lineage: Eukaryota; Metazoa; Chordata; Mammalia; Rodentia; Muridae
Description: long non-coding RNA chr8:120288729-120290237
Source: RNAcentral
AGGCAGGGAGGGUGCUCCUUGCUGAAGGCUCUGCUGAGCACAGGCCUAAAGUGAGCGGAGGCCAGCUGGCCCCGGCUCUGUCAAUCAAGGAGGAUGUAGGCAGCCAGAGUGCAGGAUAAGGUUGCAGUGAAGGCUAGAUCCAGGGUAAGCACGGGCCAGUUUUCCAUGGUGGGUGGGGCAUGGAGGAUGAGGAGACGGAGGUGGCUUGUGGGUGCUUCUGUACCAUCACCCUUACACUACCUACAACAAGCCAGGCCUUAGCUCACCCGCUAACCACCCCGCUACAGGCUACAUCUUCCAUGGGGUUCAAGAAGUCAUGUUAAUUGGCUUGGGUCGCAGGGAGCAAGAUGGGUGCCCAUUGAGGCUCUCCCCUCCUACCUCUGAGGACUCACCUUUCUCUUCUCGGAAGUUUGUCUGGGCUGCCUGCCCCAACACCACUGUAGGCCGGGAUCCCUGAAGAUGUGGCUCUUUUAGCUGCUCAGGCUUGGCCCUUCACAUACAUAGUGGGUCCUUAGUGUAUUCUGUGUCCUCAGAAUGGCGGCCACGUAGGAAACGAGAACCCAGGCCCUCAGAGUUGGAGUUGUGAAUCGUGUGUUUCAAGGUCACAGUUCUGAAUUGUCACCAGCCAGGGAAGCCGUGCCUUGAGAUCACCUCGUUCUUGCAUCAUCCCCAGCCUGUUUGUUCUGGUUCUAAGUCAGCCAUAGAACAGAUGACAGGAGAAAUUGCUACUCAGGCAGCAGGGCAGGUGGGUGGGUCAGAUGCUGUGUGGUCAGAGAAUCUGGGGGUGAGAGCCUGGUUGGGGACCAUUGGUCUAGCCAGGGGGACGGCCUGAUGGGUGGUUCUGGUGGUGGGACAGGCUGAACGGGGGAACUGGCCUGGAGGGGGUGGGAGAUGAGCCUGGCUGGGCCCUGGGCCUGGCCCUAGAGCCAGUUACAUUCAGGGCACACACUGUGACCUUGUCACACAUAAUGGCUGCCAAGACCAAGGGAAGGGACCAUCCAGUCACAGCUGGAGGUAGCGGGGCAUCUGGCUUGCUCUGCUCAUCAGACUGUUUGCCAUGAGCUGAGUCCCGUGUCCCCUGUUAACCCCAGGCUGAGUGAAGGGAGGGUAGGAGCAGCAGCCCCUGCAGCAGCUCUCCAGGGCCCCGCUGCCUUAGAUCCAACACCGAGCAGAUGGGCAGGGAGAGCGGGAGAGGCUGCAACAGUUGGUGGCUGCCAGCUCCCAGCGCAGCGGGAGUGAGAAGCCAGCCGGGAUGGAGGGAGUGGCAGAAGCCCAGGCUCCUGUCAGCACCUCCCAAGGGCCUCUCAGCCCUUCCAGAGACCUGAGAGCCAAAGGCCUGAAGGUCUAGCACAGUGUACACUGGUGGGCGGAGCCCCACUGACCCGAGGACAAUCCUCCUAGCCUUGGUCUCCUCUGGGGCUGGCAUGAUACCAACAUUGCUUUUCCAUCUUGUGUGACCUCAGGCUAGUCUCUGAGCUUAUCUGUUCCCCUCCCCCCACCCAAAAGUU